Molecule: small nuclear RNA, 191 nt
Organism: Lynx canadensis (Canada lynx)
Lineage: Eukaryota; Metazoa; Chordata; Mammalia; Carnivora; Felidae
Gene: U2
Rfam family: U2 spliceosomal RNA
About the family: U2 is a small nuclear RNA (snRNA) component of the spliceosome (involved in pre-mRNA splicing). Complementary binding between U2 snRNA (in an area lying towards the 5' end but 3' to hairpin I) and the branchpoint sequence (BPS) of the intron results the bulging out of an unpaired adenosine, on the BPS, which initiates a nucleophilic attack at the intronic 5' splice site, thus starting the first of two transesterification reactions that mediate splicing.
Source: Ensembl
AUCGCUUCUCAGCCUUUUGACUAAGAUCAAGUAUAGUAUCUGUUCUUAUCAGUUUAAUAUCUGAUAUGUCCUCUAUCCGAGGACAAUAUAUUAAAUGGAUUUUUGGAAUUAGGAGAUGGAAUAGAAGCUUGCUCCAUCCACCCCACUCGUCGAUCUGGUAUUGCGAUACUUCCAGGAACUGUGCACCUGCU